CAGUCGCCGCGGGAAUACGAAGGUCCCGAGCGUUGUUCGGAAUCACUGGGCGUAAAGGGAGCGUAGGCGGCGUGGUAAGUCAGAUGUGAAAUCCCGGGGCUCAACCCCGGAACUGCAUCCGAUACUGCCAUGCUAGAGGAUUGGAGAGGUAGCUGGAAUUCUUGGUGUAGCAGUGAAAUGCGUGGAGAUCAAGAGGAACACUCGUGGCGAAAGCGAGCUACCGGACAAUAACUGACGCUGAGGCUCGAAGGCCAGGGUAGCGAAAGGGAUUAGAUACCCCAGUAGUCCCUGUCUCUUAUAC
This 301-nucleotide ribosomal RNA is filed under the name uncultured bacterium. RNAcentral describes it as "partial 16S ribosomal RNA". It matches the Rfam family "Bacterial small subunit ribosomal RNA", at positions 509 to 807 of the family's 1533-position model. The record is from RNAcentral.